Molecule: non-coding RNA, 31 nt
Organism: Alligator sinensis (Chinese alligator)
Lineage: Eukaryota; Metazoa; Chordata; Crocodylia; Alligatoridae
Source: Rfam
CAUUUAUCAAAGACAGUGCUUUUUAUAAAUA